Long non-coding RNA from Antechinus flavipes (yellow-footed antechinus), 563 nucleotides. RefSeq lists it as uncharacterized. The transcript is spliced from 3 exons. NCBI's taxonomy places the organism in Eukaryota, Metazoa, Chordata, Mammalia, Dasyuromorphia, Dasyuridae. The record is from RefSeq and is a predicted model, not a curated record.
GGAAUACUUCGAAGGGACAGCCAUCUUAGACAAUGAAGAGGCAACUGACUUUCUGAACACAAAGAACAACCUUCCAGAAAAGAACGAAAGCACAGCAUUUCUAGAUUCCAUAUUUGGUGAGUUGCCUCCCAAAUCCAUAAUCAAGGUAAAACUCCUCUUCGAAAAACCUGCAUAUCCCAAUCGAAGAGCAAAGUCCAACAAAAAAUGCUUCGAAUGUACUGAAGAAAAUGAAGAAAGAUGCUGAUUUAAGAAAGCCACAGCUGUACAUUCAACAUCAUCCACCUUACAAUUCUGGACAACUUGCCAGUGAAACUGUUUCACAUUCCUCCGUACCUUUAAAAUGAGGAUCAAAACCUGACAUCCUGACCUUAUGUAUUUUACCCAAUGUUUUGCUGAAAUAUAAUCUAGUCUAGCAAAGCUCUUUGUGUGUGUGUUACCUCUCUGCUACCCAUCUGUCAGUUACCCAAAACUCCUUUUCCACUUCGUAUCAACCCUUGGCUCCGGUCUUAAGGGGUGUCAAGGCCACUAGCGUCCCCCAUCCUUUGCUUUUUCUUCCUUUCAUC